AAUAAGAGCAUAUGGUGGAUGCCUCGACAUAAAUAGCCUAUGAAGGACGCGGCGUGGCUGCGAUAAGCCUCGGGAAGGUGCUGAGCAACCUAUGAUCCGGGGAUUUCCGAAUGGGGUAACCUAAUUUGCUGAUUAAGGCAAAUUGAUCUGGCCGCAAGGCUGGAUCGGGAACUCGGCGAAGCGAAACCUCACAGUAGCCGGAGGAAAAGAAAAGAAAGUUAACAUUUCAUUUUGCUUUCAACUUUCAGUCGCUAACUUUUGUUGGUGCCUGAGAGUUGAUCGUUGAAGCGUUAUGUUAGCACAUUCCCUUAGUAGCGGUGAGCGAACAGGGAGUAGUCCAAACCUGACAUCACUUGUGGUGGCGGGUGUAGUAAGAUAAAGACGUUCCAAUUUAUUGGAACCCGAAGCCAGGUGAGCUACCCAUGAUCAGGAUGAACUCCGUAGAGAUACGGAGGGAGGUCCGAACCCAUAAGCCGUGCAAUACUUUGGGAUGAAUUGUGGGUAGAAGUGAAAAGCUCAUCGAACCUGGUAAUAGCUGGUUCUCUCCGAAAUAUCUUUCGGGAUAGCACUAUAUAGUAUCUUUGGAGGUAGAGCACUGAAUGGUGUUCAUUGGCCUUGCGCCAGGAAAACCAAUCAAACUCCGAAUGCCAAAGACUUUAUGUAUAGUAGUUAGACUGCGGGGGCUAAGCUCCGUAGUCAAAAGGGAAAAAGCCCAGACCGCCAUCUAAGGUCCCCAAAUCUUCGCUAAGUGCAAAUUUCAAGGAAGUGUGGCUUCACAGACACCUAGGAGGUUGGCUUAGAAGCAGCCAUCCUUAAAAGAAAGCGUAACAGCUCACUAGUUUAGAGGCUACGCGCCGAAAAUGUAUGGGGCUAAGCGAAGUACCGACGAUGCGGAUUCUACCUAACUUUUGCGAUUUAGAUUAUUUUUUGUAAUCUUUUUGCCGGAUUUUUCUGGUAACUGGAUGUUAAGAAUAGUUUGAAUUGCAACAGUUAGGUAGAAUGGUAGGAGAGCUUAUCCUGCGCAGUGAAGGCAAAUUGUGAAAUUUGCUGGAGUGCAGGGUAGUGAGAAUGCCGGAAUGAGUAACCACAAGUCAUGUGAGAACCAUGACCGCCGAAAGCCUAAGGUUUCCGUGGCAAUGACAAUCAACCACGGGUUAGUCGGGCCUAAGACCAACCCUAAAGGGGUAGUCGAUGGACAGCAGAUUAAUAUUUCUGCACUUCUUAAAGAUUCAAUGGGAGGGACAAAUUUUAGUAGUCAGCGCGCGUUAUUGGAUUCGCGUCUGUUUCUUAAGGAAUUUUGCCAGGCAAAUCCGGCAGAAUGUCUUCAAUGACGAUUCUAAGAGAUGCAGGGAAUUCCAUUUAUGGAAGAACGCUGAUGAGCAAGGUUUCGAGAAAAACUUCUAAGGUUAAUCUUUAUGAACCCGUACCGAAGACCGACACAGGUGGGCCGGUGUAAAUGCACCAAGGCGAACGAGUGAUUCUUCGUUAAGGAACUCGGCAAAAAAGUGGCCGUAAGUUUGACGAUAAGGCCUCCCUGAUUUAUUUCAGGGCGCAGCUAACGACCCCUAGCGACUGUUUAUCAAAAACACAGGUCCCUGCGAACUCAUUAAGAGGAUGUAUAGGGGCUGACACCUGUCCAGUGCUGGAACCUUAACGGUUGCGGUGAUAGGGAUGAGAUUAUAUCAAUUUUUUAUUGCUAAAGCCCGAAGGGCCAGUGAACGACAGCGAUAACUAUAAUCGUUCUAAGGUAGCGAAAUUCCUUGGCAUGUAAGUUAUGUCCCGCACGAAUGGUGUAACGACUGGGGGACUGUCUCAACGAAGAGCUCGCUACAGCUUGAUAUUGGCGAUGCUUUCCAAAUACGUAGAAUAGGUGGGAGAGGUUGAAGGCUUGGUUUCGGCCAGGCUGGACUCGACAGUGAAAUACCACUUUUUUGGAGCGCUUCGUUCUAACGUUGCCAUGUUAGCAGCAUGGCGCGGACAGUGUCUGGUGGGUAGUUUUAGUGGGGUGCUAUCCUCCUAAAAAGUAACGGAGGAGUUUAUCAAGGUUGGCUAGCUCCGGAUGGAAAUCGGAGCGAUAGCGUAAAGGCACAAGCCAGCUUUACAGCGAGACAUAUAGGUCGAGCUGUUGCGAAAGCAGAACUUAGUGAACCGACCCUUCGAUGUAGUCGGGGGGAAGAUCAACAGACAAAAGCUACUCCGGGGAUAACAGGCUGGUGAAGCCCAAGCGUCCAUAGCGACGGCUUCGCUCGGCACCUCGAUGUCGGCUCAUCUUAUCCUGGUGGUGGAGAAGCUACCAAGGGUUUGGCUGUUCGCCAAUUAAAAAGAUACGUGAGCUGGGUUCAAACCGUCAAAAAAAUUCCCAUGCAUUGUUGGGUUAGGCGGCCUUUUGUGGCGACACAAAAGUGAAGCCGCUCCGCUUUUGCGGAGCAGCCUCGUUUCGUAAUUAUACGAGGCGGGAAAUCGACUCAUAUCGGUGAAGUCCUUUCAUACUUGUUGUUUGCAAACAACCUGUCGUAUGAUCGCGAUAAUACCGAGGGAAGUCAGCGCAUUUUGCAAAGUAAAAUGCUAAGUUAAAAAGUUAAAGCGAAAAAGUAAAAAUUUAAGCGAUUUGCCUUUCGGGCAAAAUUAUAAUUCCACCUUUGGCGGAAUACCAAAAUUUUACACUUUAGUUUUUAAUUUUAAAUUUAGCGAGCUAGGCGAGCGCUUGACCCCGUAGAGACUUAGUCCGAUAAGGACUGGAGUUAUCAUAUUGAUAGCUAAGACGUCGAUUAUCCAGCCCCAAUUUUAUAAAAAUUGGAGCGGGAUAGUGGUAUAGUCCAUGCACUUAGUAAUAAGUGGUUUAACAUGCGCGAGACAGGUUGGUCUCCUAUCUGUUGCAGGCGUAGAAUCUUGAGAAGACUUGCUCCUAGUACGAGAGGACCGGAGUGAACUGACCAACUUCAAGAUUAGGAUUCAUAGCGUCCUAGUAGAUGACUAGGUAUUACACCUGCUCAACAUUUGCUGUUUUAAGAAGACUUAAAAUAAAAUCAAGUAUACUGAAAAGAAAUUUAUGGAUUUAAGUAGAAACUGGAAUGGCAAACGUUGGGCGGGUUCAUAGGCUGCAAGUGGAAGCGCCGUAAGGCGUUAAGCUGAGCAGUACUAAUAACGCA
RNAcentral lists this ribosomal RNA (3149 nucleotides) under Parcubacteria group bacterium GW2011_GWB1_40_14. Its description in RNAcentral is "23S ribosomal RNA". It matches the Rfam family "Bacterial large subunit ribosomal RNA". The record is from RNAcentral.